This 253-nucleotide ribosomal RNA is filed under the name uncultured bacterium. RNAcentral's name for it is "partial 16S ribosomal RNA". It matches the Rfam family "Bacterial small subunit ribosomal RNA", at positions 524 to 776 of the family's 1533-position model. The record is from RNAcentral.
UACGGAGGGGGCUAGCGUUGUUCGGAAUUACUGGGCGUAAAGCGCGCGUAGGCGGACCUGCAAGUCGGGGGUGAAAGCCCGAGGCUCAACCUCGGAACUGCCUUCGAUACUGCGGGUCUCGAGUCCGGGAGAGGUGAGUGGAAUUCCUAGUGUAGAGGUGAAAUGCGUAGAUAUUAGGAAGAACACCAGUGGCGAAGGCGGCUCACUGGCCCGGUACUGACGCUGAGGCGCGAAAGCGUGGGGAGCAAACAGG